Molecule: ribosomal RNA, 369 nt
Filed under: Ehrlichia chaffeensis
Lineage: Bacteria; Pseudomonadati; Pseudomonadota; Alphaproteobacteria; Rickettsiales; Anaplasmataceae
Description: bacterial SSU rRNA
Rfam family: Bacterial small subunit ribosomal RNA
Source: RNAcentral
AUUGCUUAUAACCUUUUGGUUAUAAAUAAUUGUUAGUGGCAGACGGGUGAGUAAUGCGUAGGAAUCUACCUAGUAGUAUGGAAUAGCCAUUAGAAAUGAUGGGUAAUACUGUAUAAUCCCUGCGGGGGAAAGAUUUAUCGCUAUUAGAUGAGCCUACGUUAGAUUAGCUAGUUGGUAAGGUAAUGGCUUACCAAGGCUAUGAUCUAUAGCUGGUCUGAGAGGACGAUCAGCCACACUGGAACUGAGAUACGGUCCAGACUCCUACGGGAGGCAGCAGUGGGGAAUAUUGGACAAUGGGCGAAAGCCUGAUCCAGCUAUGCCGCGUGAGUGAAGAAGGCCUUCGGGUUGUAAAACUCUUUCAAUAGGGAA